GUGCUCGCUUCAGCAGCACAUAUGCUAAAAUUGGAAUGAUACAGAGAAGAUUAGCAUAGCACCUGCUCAAGGAUGACAAGCAAACUCAUGAAGUGUUCCAUAUUUUU
Molecule: small nuclear RNA, 107 nt
Organism: Lepus europaeus (European hare)
Lineage: Eukaryota; Metazoa; Chordata; Mammalia; Lagomorpha; Leporidae
Source: RefSeq, a predicted model, not a curated record